GGAGCCUGCUUCAAACACCGGUAGCUUCACAUUUCUCACGCUCAAACCUUGUGCUUUUGGAGGGGUUUCACUUGCGAAGAAAAACAGGCACCAAAAAAAUUAACACCGGAAGACAAUUCUUGGCGACUUAGAAGAAGUUGGUUGCGGGGUUUUGUUUAGUUUUUUCUCUUUUUUGCACUUUUUUUCUUGUCUUCCUUCCUCUUCCAGUCUUACUUUUUUGGAUCGUUUUGUGGGGUCGUUCAGCGGAGUUGAACGUGAUCCAGAAGAGGCUGAGUUUUCGGCUCUGGGUUGGUCUCCGCCUUCUCUUUCACUGCCUGACAGACUACCGCCCUCCGGCUCUCACCACAAACGGUCAACCGGAACGGGAGCGACACUGAACAACUUCCGGCGCAGCUGGACUUCCCCGCAGAAGCCGUGGGUGAGCCCGACCACCACAACUCUGCCUCAGCUGCAGAAAUUUGAAGAGAGCCGUCCAGUAGAUUAUGCUUUAACCGCAUCUUUCAACACACAAAUGUUGUUAGGGUCACCUGGAAACGGUUUGUGUGCGCCGUCCUUCCAGAACGUGCGUACUGAGGUUGACCUUUUCCACACAGGCGACUAACAGAAGGCCAUAAUUAACUGCUGGUUAAUGGAGCGAGCUCUUUAAGUGGGAGAACAAAGAGACACCGAACGAGUCAGCGGAAAAGAAAAUGUCAGCUCCUCACAGAGACAAAGGGGCGCAAACGUCCUUCUCAGGGAGAAGACUUUUUAAAAAACACGAGGUCAAAGUUUAAACUUUAUAAAUAUGGAAUAAAUACAAGAAAAGAAAGAAGACUGAUUUUUGGAAUCAGAUGUUGAUGAAGACUUUUGGAACCUGGAGCUGACCUGGGUUCUUGAACGCACAUUAAGCCCAUGAUGUUCACACUGUACAAGCAGGGAGGGGCUUCUUUUGUUUUCAACUUUCUAUCAGCACAUGACCAAUACCUACAGUUGGAAGAGGCUUUCUGGGAAAUUUGAAAGCGGUGCAAUCUUGCUAAUCUUUCGCCAGGCUUUUUAUUUCACAGCUGUCUUCUGAUAUAUGAAAGACUUGAUGUCACCAUUUUCCCAAACCAGAAUUAUUUCGUUUUCCUCCAUGAUCAAUUUUCAAACAGUUGGGGCUUCCGUGAAUUCAAAGGCAUGCUAUCUAUACGUCACUACCAAAAUCAAGUCCCUGAUUGGUCAAAGUUAAACUUUCAAUUCACUUUGAAUUUACGUAGAGCACAAAAACAGUCGCAGAAACAUGUGUAACUAUGCAUGAACGCAAGACCUUUGAACGCAGAAGCCCAAAACUCAUAGUCCCAUGCGUUUACGUGGUCUUUUCUUUGGAAGUGGUCGCUUGAAGGCCUUGUUGAGGGCGGUGUGAAUGUAGCUUGAGACAACAAUCACAUUAGCAUGAUAAGAGUUUCCCUUAUCGUACAUAACUCUGUCCCUGUUUUUCUGCCCUGUAGUUGAUCAUCGUUCCACUAGGGGCAGUAGAAGGGCUUUUCCUGCUCAUUUCAAAAUGACUACCACCAUGAAAUCUCCAAAACACUUUUGCCGGGAAGCAUUUAGCUAAUUUUAAAAACUUUA
Molecule: long non-coding RNA, 1587 nt
Filed under: Oryzias sinensis (Chinese medaka)
Lineage: Eukaryota; Metazoa; Chordata; Actinopteri; Beloniformes; Adrianichthyidae
Description: lncRNA (ENSOSIG00000017242.1)
Source: RNAcentral